RNAcentral lists this unclassified non-coding RNA (469 nucleotides) under Hevea brasiliensis (rubber tree). The record is from RNAcentral. Lineage: Eukaryota; Viridiplantae; Streptophyta; Magnoliopsida; Malpighiales; Euphorbiaceae.
CCGCAACAACUCUUUCUCCCUAGAAACCCUUUGAACCAAAGGCCACAAGGAGCAUCAACAAACACUGCCGCUAAUCUCCCCAUGCUUGAAUCUGCAUAGUCAGCCAACGGCAAGCAAAGCUUUGCCAUUAAGAGCAAACAUAAUGGCAAACCCUGCACAAACAAUCCAAUGAAGCCCUACCCUAGCCAGCCAUAUAAGCUUAAAACCACAAGAAUAGAGCUAUCGUCGGAGACUUCUAGUGGGAGACACAAAGCAGAGCUCCCCACAGCAUUUCAAUCUCGUUUAAUCUCACGGGUCGUAUACCAUCAUAAUUGACUUGCCCUUAGACCCUAGAAAGUACCUCACAUCACUUAAAGGAGACCACCCUUCUGACUUAGCUUAUGCCAUACCCAACUAGUCCACUGGCCUCUUCCAAAUAACAAUCUCCCCCUGACCUUCAAAAAAACCGCCCCACAUCUGAGCCUUGAGG